RNAcentral lists this ribosomal RNA (253 nucleotides) under uncultured bacterium. RNAcentral describes it as "partial 16S ribosomal RNA". It matches the Rfam family "Bacterial small subunit ribosomal RNA", at positions 524 to 776 of the family's 1533-position model. The record is from RNAcentral.
UACGAAGGGGGCUAGCGUUGCUCGGAAUCACUGGGCGUAAAGGGUGCGUAGGCGGGUUUUUAAGUCAGGGGUGAAAUCCUGGAGCUCAACUCCAGAACUGCCUUUGAUACUGAAGAUCUUGAGUCCGGGAGAGGUGAGUGGAACUGCGAGUGUAGAGGUGGAAUUCGUAGAUAUUCGCAAGAACACCAGUGGCGAAGGCGGCUCACUGGCCCGGUACUGACGCUGAGGCACGAAAGCGUGGGGAGCAAACAGG